RNAcentral lists this ribosomal RNA (124 nucleotides) under uncultured bacterium. RNAcentral describes it as "partial 16S ribosomal RNA". The record is from RNAcentral.
CCGGGGUUUCUUUACCAGGUACCGUCAUUAUCUUCCCUGGCGAAAGAGCUUUACGACCCUAGGGCCUUCAUCACUCACGCGGCAUGGCUAGAUCAGGGUUUCCCCCAUUGUCUAAGAUUCCCCA